GCAAGUACAUUAAUGAUUUACUCAUUUACAAAUUCUUAAUUUGAAAGAUGAUGGAGUAUCACUGGCAUCCAUAAUACAAAGUGGCAAAUGUAAGAUUUCUGCUGUUUUCAUUCGUAAUCACCUGUCCAAGGUGCUUGGAGUUGGUCUAGUCAGUCAGCUCAACCUUCCAGAUUGAUGUCACCUAACCAGUUAAUCAGUUUUAACUUCUUUGUAAGCAUUAGGUUGAACAGCGCACCUCCCUUGAUUGGAUCCUCAAUCACCUGUGCUAGGAAGUUGUUGUGAGUGUACUCCAGAAACGCCCUGGAUUAUUCAUGUUCUGUAUGUCCUUCUAUGACAUACCAGGGUGCUUAAAGUCCCCCCCUGAGGACUUGGUCCUAUGAGCAUGAGGUUUCUUCCAGCUGUUUGACGAAGACCUCAUCUACUUCUUCAUGAUCAGGCAGUCUGUACAGAUACCUCACCUCACAUCACCCAUGUUAGUCUGCCGGCUAAUCCUGAGCCAUAACCUCUCAAUCAGCUCAUUGUUCACCCCAAGGCAGAGCUCCAUGGAUUCCAGCUGCUGUCACAGUAAGAGCAACUCCUGCUCAUCAUCUUCCCAGUCUGUCCUUCCUAAAGAGCCUGUGUCCACCCAUUUCAGCACUUCUGUCAUGUGAGCUUUCCCACCUCAUCUCUAUGACUUCACUGAGACUGUAGCCCUCUAAUGGCAUGUAAACUUCUAACAUCUCCUGUUUGCUCCCCAUACUGACUGCAUUAGUGUAUAGACACUCCUGAAAGGUGAGGGACAACCUCCACCCCUCCACCAAUGUCCUCUCAGCAAUUCCUUAUUUGUGGGUGUGCACCAUUCUUCCCUGUUCUGUAGAUUUUGAGGACUGUUAACCACAUCACUCUGCACCUUUGCUUGCCAGUCCAAUCCACCACUUCCUCACUUGAAUGUGGGUCAUCAUCUCCCUCCUAUCUUAUUCUAGUCUCCUCAGGUUUGCCAGUCUGUUAGCAAAGAGUGGUUUUUACCCCAGUUUGUCAGGAAGAUUCUACUUGUCCCUACCAAUCCUUGACCCCCAAAGAGGGUCCUGUGGUUUUAAAAUC
This 1080-nucleotide long non-coding RNA is filed under the name Strigops habroptila (Kakapo). RNAcentral describes it as "lncRNA (ENSSHBG00005011865.1)". The record is from RNAcentral. Lineage: Eukaryota; Metazoa; Chordata; Aves; Psittaciformes; Psittacidae.